RNAcentral lists this ribosomal RNA (497 nucleotides) under uncultured bacterium. RNAcentral's name for it is "partial 16S ribosomal RNA". It matches the Rfam family "Bacterial small subunit ribosomal RNA", at positions 28 to 507 of the family's 1533-position model. The record is from RNAcentral.
GAUGAACGCUGGCGGCGUGCCUAAUACAUGCAAGUCGAGCGAACAGACGAGGAGCUUGCUCCUCUGACGUUAGCGGCGGACGGGUGAGUAACACGUGGAUAACCUACCUAUAAGACUGGGAUAACUUCGGGAAACCGGAGCUAAUACCGGAUAAUAUAAUGAACCGCAUGGUUCAAUAGUGAAAGACGGUUUUGCUGUCACUUAUAGAUGGAUCCGCGCCGCAUUAGCUAGUUGGUAAGGUAACGGCUUACCAAGGCAACGAUGCGUAGCCGACCUGAGAGGGUGAUCGGCCACACUGGAACUGAGACACGGUCCAGACUCCUACGGGAGGCAGCAGUAGGGAAUCUUCCGCAAUGGGCGAAAGCCUGACGGAGCAACGCCGCGUGAGUGAUGAAGGUCUUCGGAUCGUAAAACUCUGUUAUUAGGGAAGAACAAAUGUGUAAGUAACUAUGCACGUCUUGACGGUACCUAAUCAGAAAGCCACGGCUAACUACGUG